This 24-nucleotide non-coding RNA is filed under the name Cricetulus griseus (Chinese hamster). Lineage: Eukaryota; Metazoa; Chordata; Mammalia; Rodentia; Cricetidae. The record is from RNAcentral.
UCUGAUGUGUAAUGUAUAGCUAGG